This 395-nucleotide ribosomal RNA is filed under the name uncultured organism. RNAcentral's name for it is "bacterial SSU rRNA". It matches the Rfam family "Bacterial small subunit ribosomal RNA", at positions 45 to 433 of the family's 1533-position model. The record is from RNAcentral.
UGCUUCAUACAUGCAAGUCGAACGGUUAAAGCCCGCAAGGGCAUAUAAAGUGGCGCACGGGUGAGUAACAGGUGGAUAAUCUGCCUUUCGGUGGGGGAUACCGGCUGGAAACGGCCGUUAAUACCGCAUUCGAUUGUCGGGUCUCAUGGUCUGACAAGGAAAGGGGCUGCAAGGCCUCGCCGAAAGAUGAGUCCGCCCCCCAUUAGCUAGUUGGUGAGAUAACAGCCCACCAAGGCAUCGAUGGGUAGCCGAGCUGAGAGGUUGAUCGGCCACACUGGAACUGAGACACGGUCCAGACACCUACGGGUGGCAGCAGUAGGGAAUAUUGCACAAUGGGCGAAAGCCUGAUGCAGCAAUGCCGCGUGAGUGAUGAAGGCCUUCGGGUCGUAAAACUC